UGAAUACGAGAUGCUACGGCGUCGAAGCAGUCUAUGUCAUACUUCCAAGAAAAGCUUGCACUGUCAUAAACAAAUAAUGCCUGUACCAUAACCGACACAGGUGGGUAGGUAGAGUAUACUAAGGGGCGCGAGAUAACUCUCUCUAAGGAACUCGGCAAAAUGACUCCGUAACUUCGGGAGAAGGAGUGCCUUAUUUUAUAAGGUUGCAAUAACAAGAUCCAAGCAACUGUUUACCAAAAACACAGGUCUCCGCUAAGUCGUAAGACGAUGUAUGGGGGCUGACGCCUGCCCAGUGCCAGAAGGUUAAAGAAGUUGGUUAGCAUCCGCGAAGCUGAUAACUGAAGCCCUGGUGAACGGCGGCCGUAACUAUAACGGUCCUAAGGUAGCGAAAUUCCUUGUCGGGUAAGUUCCGACCCGCACGAAAGGCGUAAUGAUUUGGAUACUGUCUCAGAGAGGGGCUCGGUGAAAUAGACUUGUCUGUGAAGAUGCGGACUACCUGCACCAGGACAGAAAGACCCUAUGAAGCUUUACUGUAACUUGAAAUUGAAAUUGGACUUUACUUGCGCAGUAUAGGUGGGAGGCGUUGAGAAUAUUCUUGCGGGAAUGUUGGAGCCAUCAGUGAGAUACCACUCUUGUAAUGUUAGAUUUCUAACUUUGUAUCAUUAUCUGGUCAAAGGACAGUUUCAGGCGGGCAGUUUGACUGGGGCGGUCGCCUCCCAAACGGUAACGGAGGCGCACAAAGGUUUCCUCUGAACGGGUAGAAAUCGUAUCUAGAGUGUAAAGGCAUAAGGAAGCUUGACUGUGAGACCUACAAGUCGAGCAGGGACGAAAGUCGGUCUUAGUGAUCUGACGGUGCUGAGUGGAAAGGCCGUCACUCAACGGAUAAAAGUUACUCUAGGAUAACAGGCUGAUCUCCCCCAAGAGUUCACAUCGACGGGGAGGUUUGGCACCUCGAUGUCGGCUCAUCGCAUCCUGGGGCGGUAGUACGUCCCAAGGGUUGGGCUGUUCGCCCAUGAAAGCGGUACGCGAGCUGGGUUCAGAACGUCGUGAGACAGUUCGGUCCAUAUCCGGUGUAGGCGUUAGAAUAUUGAGAGGAGCCUUCUUUAGUACGAGAGGACCGAGAAGGACAUACCUCUGGUGUACCAGUUAUCGUGCCAACGGUAAACGCUGGGUAGCUAUGUAUGGAGUGGAUAACCGCUGAAAGCAUCUAAGUGGGAAGCCCACCUCAAGAUAAGUAUUCCC
Molecule: ribosomal RNA, 1242 nt
Filed under: metagenome
Description: bacterial LSU rRNA
Rfam family: Bacterial large subunit ribosomal RNA
Source: RNAcentral